AACCACCGGCCCUCCAUUGUCGAGAUUCCCUGUGCUGGAAAGCCCACCGCUGCUCCGCAUUCGAUUCCCUUUCCUUCCCUGUCAAUCCUCGUGCUUUUCACUCCCGGGGUGAGCGAAGAGCAAGGGAAAAACCAAGCCUCCCCUGGCUCCAGAAGCUUCCGCUUCAGCCGAUAUGUGGGCUUCCAUCGUUGCGUUGCCAGGAUUCUGCCAAAGCUGCAGCAGUAGUGGUGGCAAGUGGCAUUUGAAUCCCGGAAGAAAAAGUAAAGUUUAAAACUAAAGCUACAGUUAGUUUCUACAAGGACAUUGUUCGUACAAAUAGGGCUAUAAAGAGGGGAAUAAGAACAGGGCUCAUGCAUGGUAUGUGUUGUAAAUCAAUCUCAUGCUAAUGAGCAUAAGAACCCUCACUCCAGUGUUAUUCUGGAAAUUAUUUAAGUUGAGUUGGAGCGGUGAGGUUUGUAUGUAGAACAAAAUAAUGACAAACAUAAUUUGCAAUGGGUUCCUG
This 502-nucleotide long non-coding RNA is filed under the name Physcomitrium patens. RNAcentral describes it as "long non-coding RNA (PPAT_LNC007934)". The record is from RNAcentral. Lineage: Eukaryota; Viridiplantae; Streptophyta; Bryopsida; Funariales; Funariaceae.